Transfer RNA from Thermodesulfobacterium commune DSM 2178, 91 nucleotides. It matches the Rfam family "tRNA". Rfam says of the family: Transfer RNA (tRNA) molecules are approximately 80 nucleotides in length. NCBI's taxonomy places the organism in Bacteria, Pseudomonadati, Thermodesulfobacteriota, Thermodesulfobacteria, Thermodesulfobacteriales, Thermodesulfobacteriaceae. The record is from Rfam.
GGAGGAGUGGCCGAGAGGUCGAAGGCGCUCGCCUGCUAAGCGAGUGUACGGGCUAAAACCCGUACCGCGGGUUCGAAUCCCGCCUCCUCCG